UACGAAGGGGGCUAGCGUUGCUCGGAAUCACUGGGCGUAAAGCGCACGUAGGCGGGUUCUUAAGUCAGGGGUGAAAUCCUGGAGCUCAACUCCAGAACUGCCUUUGAUACUGGGAAUCUCGAGUCCGGGAGAGGUGAGUGGAACUGCGAGUGUAGAGGUGAAAUUCGUAGAUAUUCGCAAGAACACCAGUGGCGAAGGCGGCUCACUGGCCCGGUACUGACGCUGAGGUGCGAAAGCGUGGGGAGCAAACAGGG
RNAcentral lists this ribosomal RNA (254 nucleotides) under uncultured bacterium. RNAcentral describes it as "partial 16S ribosomal RNA". It matches the Rfam family "Bacterial small subunit ribosomal RNA", at positions 524 to 777 of the family's 1533-position model. The record is from RNAcentral.